This 292-nucleotide ribosomal RNA is filed under the name uncultured bacterium. RNAcentral describes it as "partial 16S ribosomal RNA". It matches the Rfam family "Bacterial small subunit ribosomal RNA", at positions 505 to 796 of the family's 1533-position model. The record is from RNAcentral.
GUGUCAGCCGCCGCGGUAAUACAGAGGGGGCAAGCGUUAUUCGGAAUUAUUGGGCGUAAAGGGCGCGUAGGCGGCUUGGCAAGUGGAUGGUGAAAUCCCUCGGCUUAACUGAGGAACUGCCAUCCAGACUGCUUUGCUUGAGGCCGGGAGAGGUGAGUGGAAUUCCCAGUGUAGCGGUGAAAUGCGUAGAUAUUGGGAGGAACACCAGUGGCGAAGGCGGCUCACUGGACCGGUUCUGACGCUGAUGCGCGAAAGCGUGGGGAGCAAACGGGAUUAGAAACCCCCGUAGUCC